GAAGAUGACGAGCGGCGGACGGGUGAGUAAUACUUAGGAAUCUACCUAGUAGUGGGGGAUAGCUCGGGGAAACUCGAAUUAAUACCGCAUACGACCUACGGGAGAAAGGGGGCAACUUGUUGCUCUCGCUAUUAGAUGAGCCUAAGUCGGAUUAGCUAGAUGGUGGGGUAAAGGCCUACCAUGGCGACGAUCUGUAGCUGGUCUGAGAGGAUGAUCAGCCACACCGGGACUGAGACACGGCCCGGACUCCUACGGGAGGCAGCAGUGGGGAAUAUUGGACAAUGGGGGAAACCCUGAUCCAGCCAUGCCGCGUGUGUGAAGAAGGCCUUUUGGUUGUAAAGCACUUUAAGCAGUGAAGAAGACUCUUCGGUUAAUACCCGGAGACGAUGACAUUAGCUGCAGAAUAAGCACCGGCUAACUCUGUGCCAGCAGCCGCGGUAAUACAGAGGGUGCAAGCGUUAAUCGGAAUUACUGGGCGUAAAGCGAGCGUAGGUGGCUUGAUAAGUCAGAUGUGAAAUCCCCGGGCUUAACCUGGGAACUGCAUCUGAUACUGUCAGGCUAGAGUAGGUGAGAGGAAGGUAGAAUUCCAGGUGUAGCGGUGAAAUGCGUAGAGAUCUGGAGGAAUACCGAUGGCGAAGGCAGCCUUCUGGCAUCAUACUGACACUGAGGCUCGAAAGCGUGGGUAGCAAACAGGAUUAGAUACCCUGGUAGUCCACGCCGUAAACGAUGUCUACUAGUCGUUGGGUCCCUU
RNAcentral lists this ribosomal RNA (751 nucleotides) under Psychrobacter alimentarius. RNAcentral's name for it is "bacterial SSU rRNA". It matches the Rfam family "Bacterial small subunit ribosomal RNA", at positions 84 to 833 of the family's 1533-position model. The record is from RNAcentral. Lineage: Bacteria; Pseudomonadati; Pseudomonadota; Gammaproteobacteria; Moraxellales; Moraxellaceae.